GACGAACGCUGGCGGCGUGCUUAACUCAUGCAAGUCGAACGGAAAGGCCCCUUUGGGGGUCCUCGAGUGGCGAACGGGUGAGUAACACGUGAGUAACCUGCCCUUGACUUCGGGAUAACUUCAGGAAACUGGGGCUAAUACCGGAUAGGAAUCCUUGCUGCAUGGUGGGGGUUGGAAAGCUUCGGCGGUUUUGGAUGGACUCGCGGCUUAUCAGCUUGUUGGUGGGGUAGUGGCUUACCAAGGCUUUGACGGGUAGCCGGCCUGAGAGGGCGACCGGCCACAUUGGGACUGAGAUACGGCCCAGACUCCUACGGGAGGCAGCAGUGGGGAAUAUUGCACAAUGGGCGGAAGCCUGAUGCAGCAACGCCGCGUGCGGGAUGACGGCCUUCGGGUUGUAAACCGCUUCCAGCAGGGGCGAAGCUUGUGGUGACGGUACCUGCAGAAGAAGCACCGGCUAACUACGUG
RNAcentral lists this ribosomal RNA (465 nucleotides) under uncultured bacterium. RNAcentral describes it as "partial 16S ribosomal RNA". It matches the Rfam family "Bacterial small subunit ribosomal RNA", at positions 28 to 507 of the family's 1533-position model. The record is from RNAcentral.